UCAUGACACUGGGUAGCAAUAACGGAAAGUUUUGUGCUUCCAAAUCAUUUUGGCUUUUAAGAAUUUCUUGAUAUUCUAUGGCUUGCCUUCGGUUUUGAUCCUAUAUUUGUCAGGUGCACAAGAUCACCUUCUGUCUUGUCACUAAGCAUUCCUGUUUGGUGACAGUGUACUUGGGAAAAGGCUACACGACGGUUCUGCCUCCACUCACUGUCUAAGAUACCCACCCUCCUCCCUUUGCUUGCAUCCCACCAACUAUUUCCCACAUCCCCUUUACUGCAGCACAUCUCUCCUUAGUUGAUGAGAUUGUGUUUAUCUCCCUGUAAACCCUACCAAUCCUGAAUGGUCUGUCGUUGUCUGCCUUUAAAAUCUUUCCUCUUCCUCUCUUUAAAUAAUGAUGGGGCUGAGUUAUAUCCAAAGCUCACCCUGCAGAAUAUUUCCUCAGUACUUUACAGAAAACACCAGA
RNAcentral lists this long non-coding RNA (463 nucleotides) under Marmota monax (woodchuck). Lineage: Eukaryota; Metazoa; Chordata; Mammalia; Rodentia; Sciuridae. The record is from RNAcentral.